This is a transfer RNA of 74 nucleotides. It matches the Rfam family "tRNA". Rfam says of the family: Transfer RNA (tRNA) molecules are approximately 80 nucleotides in length. Their secondary structure includes four short double-helical elements and three loops (D, anti-codon, and T loops). The record is from Rfam.
GGGCCUGUAGCUCAGGUGGUUAGAGUGCACGCCUGAUAAGCGUGAGGUCGAUGGUUCGAGUCCAUCCAGGCCCA